CUAUGAUCAUCAAGAAAUAAAAGAUUAACAGUAUUCAAUAAAGAGUAUAAAAGUAAAAAGAAAAAAUAAUUAGAAACAAGACAAAAACUAGACAUUUCUACUCUAUUAAUUUCAAAAUCCAAACAUGAUUUCAAAUUAGGCAGGGGAUUAUCUAUAUGCCUGUCCAUCUAUUUCAUGUAAUAAAAUCGAUGAACAACAGCUUGUUUCCAGUUCUAUUGUCUAAUGGCACUGGGUAUCUGUAAUUUAAUAAUAGAAAAUUUC
Molecule: non-coding RNA, 261 nt
Organism: Pelobates cultripes (western spadefoot toad)
Lineage: Eukaryota; Metazoa; Chordata; Amphibia; Anura; Pelobatidae
Source: the annotation of a GenBank genome assembly